CAGAGCAAUGAACCACAAGAAACAACGCCAAUAUCGGAUUUUGCCCAGAAAGAAAGACCACAAAAAAUGUUUUAUAUGCCUCCAAAAUACAUUCCAAAAUCUUCCACAACUGGACAAACUCUGCAAUUAAACCUGGACUCUUACUAAAAGAAGGAGACACAGUUGGAGGUUUUCCUGUGAAAUUUUUAUUGAUGAUGGUGUGUGUAUGUAAGGUUUGGUAAAUAUACAAAAUUUUUAAUUGUGAUCAUGAAGUAGUUUGAUGAAACAUGUAUACUUAAUGUCUACUAUCCAUUUGUUGUUAAGCUUUUUUAGGGACAAAGUGAUAAUAGUUGAAAAUAAUACCCAAAUUCCUUAUACUUCUUUUUAUAACUAGUCUUAUCAUGAACCAUGAUAGUGAUUCAUAAUAGGGAUCACAAGGAAAUGCACAAAACCCUAACAGAAAGUUAGAGCAAAAUCCACCUUAAACACGCUUGCUAUUUGUCUCCUUACAUGUCAUGUUCUGGGUGCAUUCCACCUUGUCACGGAUCAUCAAGCUUCAGGUCUGUGGUCUCCAGCUGAGUGAUCUUACUAUAUCAACAUCCUACAGCUUCUGGCUGUACAUCGUGCUUUGGAUUAUUUUCUUCAUCUUCCCAGGAAUCACCUGGUCAGGUACCCAUUCUCAUUCCCUUUGUGGUCAUAUCUUGGAUGCUUGACCAAUAUUUGAGUCCUUGUGUGUCAUGUUCUGGGUGCAUUCAACCUUGUUGUGGCUCAUCUUUCCCAGCUGGACAAAGUUUAUCCAAUGGAGUGGUCUCUUAAUCCUCUCUCUUUCCAGUGGCUAUGCCUUUGAUGGGGUACUCCUCACCUAGAUGCAUUUGCCACAUCCCUCAAUACUAAGUUACCUCUGUUUUAGUCUCUGGUUCCUCAUCCAUUUGCACUGGCUGCUAAUGUGUUCAGCCAGGAUUGGACCAACAGAUACCUUUAUGUGUGUGUCCUCCCAUCCAUCUUAUUCUCAGGGUGAUUUCAAUCAUCCACACCACUUCAUGUCAAGUUCUUUUAAUUGCUCCUUACUGGCCGGCACAACCAUGGUUUCCAUGGCUGCUCCACCAUUACCUCUUCCUCUUGCUCUAUCCCUUCUACAUCAGCCUUGGUCACCAGCAUCUGUUCCAGCCCUUCAUACCUUCCAUCUACACACCUGGUUUUUAUCAGUCCUUGGCAAGGAAAUAUGGAUUGUUCCGGUGAGUCGCUUUGUUUUUAGCUCCUUCCAUUUGCCCUUCUAUGGAUGUUUAUCAAUGUAAGUGGAAUGUUUUCUGCCAUUUGUCUUUGGGUCGGGGGUUUUCACCUGCUCGACCCAUUGUUCCUCAUCUUACAGAUUUCCUCACUUGGCUGUUUGAUCAGGGAACUUUGGUCUCCUUGAUUGCAGGUAAUUGGGCUGCCUUAUCCCACACUUUUCAUUUUUACUGAUACUGUAAAGUUUUUACCUCUCCUACUGUCUCACUAUUAUUGCAUUCCUUCUGGACUCGUCAUCCUCCUCAACACGCAGUCCUUCCAUAUUGGGGUGUCAAUAUGAUUCUUUGCUGCCUUACUUUACCUCAGUUUGAACCUCUGUACUCUUGUUUGAUCUUUCACUUAUCCCUUAAUACUUAUUUCCUUCUCCUCUUGGCCUGUGGACAUUGUCAGUUGGAUUUAUUUGCCCUUGAUGUUUCACGUACCCUGUAUCAUUCCACAAGUGUUCUCCUUUAUCCAGAUGAUCUUUCCGUCCUAAAACUUUGGUGGCUCAUGAGAGUAAUUCCUCCUUCUCGUUGCUUUCCCUUCAUUUCAUUUCCCACCUACAUUCCCAGGUCUGAUCCAGAUAGAGUACUAUGUCCUGUACAUGCUCCUUCUUGUUCUAUUGCCUGCAUGGCUUCCUUCCAUGGUUCCUGUCCUUCCUCUUCAUUCCAUGGCAGCUAUCCUCUGUUCAUGAUUUUUCUCCUUCCACCCUUAUCAAUUAGAUUUGGUUUUUAAUUCGAUUGGCUUAUAUGUCCUUGUCUCCUUCUUCCUGUAAUUUGUUCCAGAUGUCUUCUCACCAGAUUAGGCACUUACCUUUUCCAUGGCAUUUCAUCUCCAUCAUCCAUUAGAAGAAAUUCUUUAAUUGGGCUUGUGGACCACACCACAUACAUUCAUCUUUCAUAAUCUGCACUGGAUCACCGUUUCUUCCUCAUCAGGUUAUCGUAUUCCACCUGUUACCAAUUUCAGAGUUCAGUAAGACUGUGACUGGGAAGUUAUCGUUAUCAUAGGCAUGUUUCUUUUUUUACUGUACGAAUCUCACUCAGUGGUGAGUGGUGCCUGUCUAGGUAGUCAAAUCCACACUGUUAUUCAGUUGAGAACAAGGUGGUGAUGUUCUGCUGGUGUAGUUGAGGAGAUUUCCUCCAAUCUGACUCUCCAUCUCUGAAUGGGUUUAUCCAAUAGGAUGUUGUAGCGUUGGAGUGAAAUGUCAAAAUUGCAGUUUCCCCCUUCGAUUGGGAUCCUUCAUCCUACCCUCUACAUGGAAAUUGGUUCCCUAUUGCUGGGUUUUGGAUUCAGAGCUGGACCAAUCAACAUAAGUCCUCACACAUGUAUUACGGGUAUCUUUGUUUCCUCACUCAGCUGAACUCAUGUUCACUGCUACCAUCUUGUGGGUCACAGUGGUUGAAUUUGCAGGUUACUAUGGUUCUUCCUUUUGCACUAUCUCUCAGAGAUUUUAAUUACCUAGGAUGUUACUGCACUGGGGUUUGUUCUUAUCUGAUUGGUUUUGAGUGGGCUAUUUCACACUACAGGGACAUCUCUAUUAUUCUGAUCACUUGGAUGUUGGGUUCCUGGGUUAGUAAAACAUUUUCUUACUUUGCUUUCAUGUGUCCUGUUCACAGAUCAAUGGGUAUGAUAUAACCCUCCAGUCUGCUGAACUGAAGGUGAAGAAGGUAUGAUCCUCUUUGCUACCCCCACAAGGAUGUCGGUUCCCAAUGGCUGGGUUGCAGAUGCAAUUGAUUUGCCAUGUCUGGUCCAUCAUGCCAUAGCCACUCUAUACCUUGGGGCACAUCCUUUUUUUACUCUUACCAACAUUACCAUCAUAAAAGGGAUUGUGAUUCAGAUAUUUUGGUGGUUUGGAUCCCUAUCCAACCAUUGUUCUCACCAUUUUGGAUAUGCUCCUCCCAUUUUCCACCCAUGUCUGUGUCACCUUUUUCCACACUGGGUGAAGAAUAUACUUGGUACAGAAGUGGUGUGGUUUUCCACAUAUGAUUCUCAACUACAAAGAUCUCCCCUUUUAGGGUGUUCUUUCGGAUGCUUUCAAAGAAUGCUUCUUUCUUUCUCUCGCACUGGUCCCUCCACCUAUUCAGUGUGGAAUUCUAGUUAUUUAUGUGAAUGGAGGUAAUGUACCGUAUCAGAAGUUAUAAUUUUCCUACACUGAAAAUGUGUUUACUUACCUCCUCUCAUACUUCCCACUCUUCCUCCCCACUGAAAACUGAUGCUUCCAUUUUCUGACAAAACUCAAAGUAAUAGUUCGGUAGAAUCAAAUAGAGUCACAUUCGUCAGAAAGGUGUGUCGCACUCCUAUUGGUUGCCACAUGAUGAUUUACAUGUGAAAUGCAAUUGAACCAUAUUGAUUGUGGGGUAUGUGGGAGCUCAAGGCUUGUGGCAUGGGGAAAAAUCUUUGCAUAUAGAGGGCAACACUGAACGAGAAUAGCGAAGUAUGUGAGAGGAAAUACAUUUUCAGUAUAGGAAAAUUAUAACUUUAAUAUCCGACUUGUAAUAAUUAACUCAAGUUAGAUCAAUUUCAAGUGUAUGCAUUUUAUGUAUCCAGUCAUUUUCAGCUAGUUUGAUAUUCCUUAACCUAUUUCUUUUCAUACAUUGUUUUGUUAGAUGAAGUUGUCAUUACUUCUGACUAUAAGUUGUAAAAAAUAUAGGAAAAUCGGACAAAAAUUUAUCAGUGACUUAGAGCUUCCCCUUUCCAAUUUGUGUCACCAUUACCUUUGUCAAGCUAAGUACUGAGAUAUUUACCAACAACAUUCUUAGUCAGUAUCAAUUGAUAGCUAAUACAAUAAAAAAUAAGUUCUUUAUUUGUUUGUAUUCACUGAAUACAAUAAACUUAACAAUAAUAUUCAUUAAAUAAGGAUUUCAGUCAUGAGAGAAUUUUGACAUCUCUUAAUGUACUCUUAAGCCUAGUUAAGAUUAGCUAAUGUCCAGUUGUAAAAAUCUGUAACUUUCAAAGAUACAUAAUUUAACACAAAUAAGUUUUAAAGAAUGAAAAGAACACAUAAAGAAACUAUAAAAACUCCCAAGAUCUGUGAUUUGUUCCUAAAUGUCUUAAACUGUUCAUUAGAAUCCACUGUUCAUGCAUACAAGAGUUCCACAUAGCCUAUAUCUCAAGAAAUCAAAAAUUACUAAUCAAACCAAUUUAGUUACAUUAUGCUGAUGUAGACAGAUUAUAAUUUCUUCCAUCCAUUCACAGACUGUAGCUUUUUUAUACAGCCAAGCUUUGUUAGUAGUUGUUUAGACCAAAUACUGUAACAUAUGAAAAGAUGGCAGUGAGGGGAUAUAUUAAUAGCCAAAACAGCAGUAAAAUAAUGUAUCAUGUUUCCAAUGGCUGAUAGUUUCUUAGUACUAAUAGUAGGUAAAUACACAAUAUCAUGUAAAGUAAUCUAAAACAAAGUUUAGAUCCACAGUAAUGGAAGAAUACCAAAUAUUUAUGGAUACAAGUUGCAACACUUUCACAUGUACUUUUUCAGUUGCAACGAGCAAACUUUAUAGAGUAAAUAAUCCAUAUGAUAAACAUAAUUUUUGUUUAACUUAUAAGCUUCUUAUCUGCCUCUUCUGAACAUACAUUAUUGAGUAAACAAUCUUUAUGAUAAACAUAUUUUUUUAGUUUAUAAGCUUCUUUCUGCCUCUUGUGAACAUACUUUAUUGAGUAAA
RNAcentral lists this long non-coding RNA (4901 nucleotides) under Limulus polyphemus (Atlantic horseshoe crab). RNAcentral's name for it is "uncharacterized LOC111085961". The record is from RNAcentral. Lineage: Eukaryota; Metazoa; Arthropoda; Merostomata; Xiphosura; Limulidae.